GGGAAUCCUUCUUCAGCCUCUUGCUCUGAGGUCUGACACUGGACCUGAGAAAAUGAUGCUGGUCCUGGCUGUGGGAGGGCUGGAGGGCAGCCGGGGCCUGGGCUAAGCUGGGGUUUGGCGGGGGGCUGCUGGUAGUGUUGCUGUUGAUGAUCUUUUCUUCUUUCUUUGUGCUGCUGCUGCCUGGAGCUGCCUCUCCUCCUCCUCCUGCCCCUUCUUCUUCCAGGGACUCCUCAUCUCCUCCUGCUCUCUUGCCCAGCUUUUUCACCCCUUCCUCCCCGCCGCUCUCGCCCAGUUUCACUGUCAUCCUGCCGCAUCAACGCCGCCGCGCAGCCUCCGUGCUCCGGCUCUCCCGGCGGCGGCCGCUCCGGCUCCCCCGGCUCCAGGCACCCCCAGACUGCGCCUCGCAGCCGCCAGCUCCGGGGGAGGCCGGCGCGCCCCGCGACCCCCGCGGCCUCCAGCGGCCCUCCCAGCGCUGCCGGCAGCAGCGGCAGCGCUUCCCGGCCGGAGAGGCGACCUCUCGUCCCCGGCUCCCCCACAACCACGGCACCGCUGGCCGGAGCCGCGGCUCCCUGGCGCCCCGGCUCGGCCCUUACGCGGGCCGCGAUGGGUCCGGGCCGC
This 618-nucleotide long non-coding RNA is filed under the name Gallus gallus (chicken). The record is from RNAcentral. Lineage: Eukaryota; Metazoa; Chordata; Aves; Galliformes; Phasianidae.